CAAGGUUAUGUCACCGCGGAAGAGGUUGAAAAAAGGCUUUUUUGGUCGUCUGGUCGUGCCAUGGAUACCCUGGAGACUCUUCUGAAGGAAGGUCUGUCCAUGAUUGAUGACGGGCAUAGAGACGGCAAGCGACGAUAUUGGUUCCCCUGUGUUGCUUCGAUUUCUGUCACGACUGGACUGAUCGGUUGAGGAGCUGAGGCUUUCAGAUUUCACUCUUGAAGACUAUAAGCUGACAGUUAUUAGACUGGAAGCAAAAAAUCUUGUCCUUUACUCGUAGACUCCAAUAAAUUAAAUACGCCAUUAACAGUUACCUUCACUAUUGGUUCAGAUCUACCACCAUCUCGAAAAAAUUGAGGAAAAAGCUCAGCUCUCUCAUAAACAAUUUUAUCCAUCAUAAUGAAGUGAUGAAAGAUGCAUACUUUAGUUUGGAUUACUUUCACCAAAUCCAAAGAAAAUGGUGGACUGGGUCUUCUCAAUAUUGAUAUUUUAAACUUCAUAUGCAAAUCCAAAGUCUUUUGUAUCUAUCAGAUCGGUGCAACGCUAAUUAUGAUCCCCUAUGGUACAAUAUGAAGCUCACAAUUUCCACUUUUUGAAGUGAGUUUAUGCAAGUGACUACCAGAAUUAGGGCGUGCUUUUCUUUUCAAGUUAACUGCAAAAGUAAUUUAUAUUUCUCUUUUGAUCCUUGGUUGAAUGGUGUAUCUUUUUAUGAGUUUUUUUGGGAAUCACUUUUUCUCAUGGUUUUCCCAUUCAUACUAAACUUUUUGAUAUUAUUACUGACAAUGCUUGGCUCCUUUCUGCUAA
Molecule: long non-coding RNA, 801 nt
Organism: Phalaenopsis equestris
Lineage: Eukaryota; Viridiplantae; Streptophyta; Magnoliopsida; Asparagales; Orchidaceae
Exons: 2
Source: RefSeq, a predicted model, not a curated record